AGUUAUUUGAUUCCAUGCUGAGAUUUCGUCAGACACCAACCCAUUAGGGCUGAUCAAACUUCCAAGAUCAGUGAAGUU
This 78-nucleotide microRNA precursor is filed under the name Schistosoma mattheei. Its description in RNAcentral is "mir-3492 microRNA precursor family". It matches the Rfam family "mir-3492 microRNA precursor family". Lineage: Eukaryota; Metazoa; Platyhelminthes; Trematoda; Strigeidida; Schistosomatidae. The record is from Rfam by way of RNAcentral.